RNAcentral lists this ribosomal RNA (916 nucleotides) under uncultured archaeon. RNAcentral's name for it is "SSU rRNA". It matches the Rfam family "Archaeal small subunit ribosomal RNA", at positions 1 to 923 of the family's 1478-position model. The record is from RNAcentral.
UUUCCGGUUGAUCCUGCCGGACCUGACUGCUAUCGGAUUGAUACUAAGCCAUGCGAGUCUUUGCAGUAAUGCAAGGCAUACGGCUCAGUAACACGUAGUCAACUUACCCUAUGGACGAGGAUAAUCUCGGGAAACUGAGCAUAAUACUCGAUAGAUCAUAAUGCCUGGAAUGGUUUAUGGUUGAAAUGAUUCGUCGCCAUAGGAUGGGACUGCGGCCUAUCAGCUUGUUGGUGAGGUAAUGGCCCACCAAGGCGAUUACAGGUACGGGCUCUGAGAGGAGAAGCCCGGAGAUGGGUACUGAGACAAGGACCCAGGCCCUAUGGGGCGCAGCAGGCGAGAAAACUUUGCAAUGUGCGAAAGCACGACAAGGUUAAUCCGAGUGAUUUCUGCUAAAGAAAUCUUUUGCAAGUCAUAAAACCACUAGUGAAUAAGGGGUGGGCAAGUUCUGGUGUCAGCCGCCGCGGUAAAACCAGCACCUCAAGUGGUCAGGAGGAUUAUUGGGCCUAAAGCAUCCGUAGCCGGCUCUGUAAGUUUUCGGUUAAAUCCAUGUGCUCAACGCAUGGGCUGCCGAAAAUACUGCAUAGCUAGGGAGUGGGAGAGGUAGACGGUACUCGGUAGGAAGGGGUAAAAUCCUUUGAUCUAUCGAUGACCACCUGUGGCGAAGGCGGUCUACCAGAACACGUUCGACGGUGAGGGAUGAAAGCUGGGGGAGCAAACCGGAUUAGAUACCCGGGUAGUCCCAGCUGUAAACGAUGCAGACUCGAUGAUGCAUUGGCAUAUAGCCAGUGCAGUGUCGCAGGGAAGCCGUUAAGUCUGCCGCCUGGGAAGUACGUACGCAAGUAUGAAACUUAAAGGAAUAGGCGGGGGAGCACCACAAGGGGUGAAGCCUGCGGUUCAAUUGGAUUCAACGCCGGGA